Non-coding RNA from Vigna umbellata (rice bean), 362 nucleotides. NCBI's taxonomy places the organism in Eukaryota, Viridiplantae, Streptophyta, Magnoliopsida, Fabales, Fabaceae. The record is from RefSeq and is a predicted model, not a curated record.
UUCAUUUAUCAGCAACAUUCUGAAUUACAUGUAUUAUGACACUGUAAAAUAAAACCCACCUUUAAUUUUUCAUUCUUGGAAAAUCAUAUCAUCUUCUUGUUAAUUACACAUGAAAAACCGCUUUUGUUUGAGCAGACGAGUGUUUCGAGCAGUGCGAAAGUAAAGAACACAGCAACCUCGCAAGUUCAACCUUUAGGCAUGGCGAAAGAUUGUUCAAUACAAGGACCAGUAAAGGAGGAGUUCACUUACCAAGCUGGAUCCGCUCCCUUCAAGAGUUGUCAUGCUUCUACCAUUGUCGAGGUUGAUAAGGAUCAUUUUUUGGUUGCCUAUUUUGGGGGUUCAUUCGAGGGGGCACCUGAUGU